CGGAUUGGCGAAUUAUUGUAUUGGGCCGAGCUGGAUUUGAACCAGCGUAGACAUAUUGCCAACGAAUUUACAGUCCGUCCCCAUUAACC
Molecule: transfer RNA, 89 nt
Filed under: Salpichroa didierana
Lineage: Eukaryota; Viridiplantae; Streptophyta; Magnoliopsida; Solanales; Solanaceae
Also listed under: 14 other names
Description: tRNA-Tyr
Source: RNAcentral